This 468-nucleotide ribosomal RNA is filed under the name uncultured bacterium. RNAcentral describes it as "partial 16S ribosomal RNA". It matches the Rfam family "Bacterial small subunit ribosomal RNA", at positions 28 to 507 of the family's 1533-position model. The record is from RNAcentral.
GACGAACGCUGGCGGCGUGCUUAACACAUGCAAGUCGAACGGUGAUGCUCCAGCUUGCUGGAGUGGAUCAGUGGCGAACGGGUGAGUAACACGUGAGCAACCUGCCCCAGACUCUGGAAUAAGCGCUGGAAACGGCGUCUAAUACUGGAUACGAAACUGGCCCGCAUGGGCAUGGUUUGGAAAGUUUUUCGGUUUGGGAUGGGCUCGCGGCCUAUCAGCUUGUUGGUGAGGUAAUGGCUCACCAAGGCGACGACGGGUAGCCGGCCUGAGAGGGCGACCGGCCACACUGGGACUGAGACACGGCCCAGACUCCUACGGGAUGCAGAAGUGGGGAAUAUUGCACAAUGGGCGAUAGCCUGAUGCAGCGACGCCGCGUGAGGGAUGACGGCCUUCGGGUUUUAAACCUCUUUCAGCAGGGAAGAAGCGAAAGUGACGGUACCUGCAGAAGAAGCACCGGCUAACUACGUG